AACGAACGCUGGCGGCAGGCCUAACACAUGCAAGUCGAACGCCGUAGCAAUACGGAGUGGCAGACGGGUGAGUAACACGUGGGAACGUACCCUUCGGUUCGGGAUAACUCAGGGAAACUUGAGCUAAUACCGGAUACGUCCGAGAGGAGAAAGAUUUAUCGCCGAGGGAUCGGCCCGCGUCUGAUUAGCUUGUUGGUGAGGUAACGGCUCACCAAGGCGACGAUCAGUAGCUGGUCUGAGAGGAUGAUCAGCCACAUUGGGACUGAGACACGGCCCAAACUCCUACGGGAGGCAGCAGUGGGGAAUAUUGGACAAUGGGCGCAAGCCUGAUCAGCCAUGCCGCGUGAGUGAUGAAGGCCCUAGGGUUGUAAAGCUCUUUUACCCGGGAAGAUAAUGACUGUACCGGGAGAAUAAGCCCCGGCUAACUUCGUGCCAGCCGCCGCCGU
Molecule: ribosomal RNA, 446 nt
Filed under: uncultured bacterium
Lineage: Bacteria
Description: bacterial SSU rRNA
Rfam family: Bacterial small subunit ribosomal RNA
Source: RNAcentral